RNAcentral lists this ribosomal RNA (1265 nucleotides) under Staphylococcus aureus. RNAcentral describes it as "partial 23S ribosomal RNA". It matches the Rfam family "Bacterial large subunit ribosomal RNA", at positions 1603 to 2871 of the family's 2925-position model. Lineage: Bacteria; Bacillati; Bacillota; Bacilli; Caryophanales; Staphylococcaceae. The record is from RNAcentral.
CACUGCCGAGAAAAGCCUCUAGAUAGAAAAUAGGUGCCCGUACCGCAAACCGACACAGGUAGUCAAGAUGAGAAUUCUAAGGUGAGCGAGCGAACUCUCGUUAAGGAACUCGGCAAAAUGACCCCGUAACUUCGGGAGAAGGGGUGCUCUUUAGGGUUAACGCCCAGAAGAGCCGCAGUGAAUAGGCCCAAGCGACUGUUUAUCAAAAACACAGGUCUCUGCUAAACCGUAAGGUGAUGUAUAGGGGCUGACGCCUGCCCGGUGCUGGAAGGUUAAGAGGAGUGGUUAGCUUCUGCGAAGCUACGAAUCGAAGCCCCAGUAAACGGCGGCCGUAACUAUAACGGUCCUAAGGUAGCGAAAUUCCUUGUCGGGUAAGUUCCGACCCGCACGAAAGGCGUAACGAUUUGGGCACUGUCUCAACGAGAGACUCGGUGAAAUCAUAGUACCUGUGAAGAUGCAGGUUACCCGCGACAGGACGGAAAGACCCCGUGGAGCUUUACUGUAGCCUGAUAUUGAAAUUCGGCACAGCUUGUACAGGAUAGGUAGGAGCCUUUGAAACGUGAGCGCUAGCUUACGUGGAGGCGCUGGUGGGAUACUACCCUAGCUGUGUUGGCUUUCUAACCCGCACCACUUAUCGUGGUGGGAGACAGUGUCAGGCGGGCAGUUUGACUGGGGCGGUCGCCUCCUAAAAGGUAACGGAGGCGCUCAAAGGUUCCCUCAGAAUGGUUGGAAAUCAUUCAUAGAGUGUAAAGGCAUAAGGGAGCUUGACUGCGAGACCUACAAGUCGAGCAGGGUCGAAAGACGGACUUAGUGAUCCGGUGGUUCCGCAUGGAAGGGCCAUCGCUCAACGGAUAAAAGCUACCCCGGGGAUAACAGGCUUAUCUCCCCCAAGAGUUCACAUCGACGGGGAGGUUUGGCACCUCGAUGUCGGCUCAUCGCAUCCUGGGGCUGUAGUCGGUCCCAAGGGUUGGGCUGUUCGCCCAUUAAAGCGGUACGCGAGCUGGGUUCAGAACGUCGUGAGACAGUUCGGUCCCUAUCCGUCGUGGGCGUAGGAAAUUUGAGAGGAGCUGUCCUUAGUACGAGAGGACCGGGAUGGACAUACCUCUGGUGUACCAGUUGUCGUGCCAACGGCAUAGCUGGGUAGCUAUGUGUGGACGGGAUAAGUGCUGAAAGCAUCUAAGCAUGAAGCCCCCCUCAAGAUGAGAUUUCCCAACUUCGGUUAUAAGAUCCCUCAAAGAUGAUGAGGUUAAUAGGUUCGAGGUGGA